Long non-coding RNA from Felis catus (domestic cat), 472 nucleotides. RefSeq lists it as uncharacterized. The transcript has 3 exons. Lineage: Eukaryota; Metazoa; Chordata; Mammalia; Carnivora; Felidae. The record is from RefSeq and is a predicted model, not a curated record.
GCCUAGUCGUGGGUGUGAGAAGGCAGGGCGCUAGAGAAGGCAGGUGAAUUCAUUUGCUUGCUCAGAGUUGCCUGGAAAUUUGGACAGGGAGGUUCCGCUGUGUCAGGGUUGCAAAGCAGCAACAGAAGACACACUGAAAUGUAUCUGUAGUGUUUGGUAGACAUUUUUGCAGACCUUGAGCGCGUUCAGUUGGGAUAAAGCGUCAAGCCCAGCCCCCUUUCUGGAAUGGAUUUCUGGAGCCGGCUGCCAUUCCUGAGAAGUCCUCUUCUUUUCUGGAAGAAGUGAUUUGCAGCGUUCCCUGGGCCUUUGUUGAGAAGGGUCUCCUCUGGAGUGAGUCACGCUCUCGCAGUGCGCAGCCCGAGCCGCGGGGCGCUCCCCUUCGGAAGCGAUGACUGGAGCAGCGCGAGCGUGCCGCCCUCCGCAGCCGAGCGCGGGGCCGGGGCUGCGCGGACGCGGCGGCGCGGGCCGCUAG